Molecule: ribosomal RNA, 511 nt
Filed under: uncultured bacterium
Lineage: Bacteria
Description: partial 16S ribosomal RNA
Rfam family: Bacterial small subunit ribosomal RNA
Source: RNAcentral
AUGAACGCUGGCGGCGUGCCUAAUACAUGCAAGUCGAACGAAACUUCUUUAUCACCGAGUGCUUGCACUCACCGAUAAAGAGUUGAGUGGCAAACGGGUGAGUAACACGUGGGCAACCUGCCCAAAAGAGGGGGAUAACACUUGGAAACAGGUGCUAAUACCGCAUAACCAUAGUUACCGCAUGGUAACUAUGUAAAAGGUGGCUAUACUACCGCUUUUGGAUGGGCCCGCGGCGCAUUAGCUAGUUGGUAGGGUAAAGGCUUACCAAGGCAAUGAUGCGUAGCCGAAUUGAGAGGUUGAUCGGCCACAUUGGGACUGAGACACGGCCCAAACUCCUACGGGAGGCAGCAGUAGGGAAUCUUCCACAAUGGGCGAAAGCCUGAUGGAGCAACGCCGCGUGGGUGAAGAAGGUCUUCGGAUCGUAAAACCCUGUUGUUAGAGAAGAAAGUGCGUGAGAGUAACUGUUCACGUUUCGACGGUAUCUAACCAGAAAGCCACGGCUAACUACGUG